UGUCCGUGAGCCAGCAGUGCCCUGGGGGUCAAAAAGGCCAAUGGGAUCCUGGGGUGCAUCAGGAAGAGCACUGGCAGCAGGUGGAGGGAGGUGACCCUGCCCCUUUACUCAGUCCUGGGGAGGCCACAACCAGAGUGUCCAGUUCUGAGGUCCUCAGGGCAAGAGCGACAUGGAGCUCCUGGAGUGAGACAAAUGGAAGGUGAUAAAGAAGAUGAGUGGACAAGAGCAACUCUCUUAUGAGGAAAGGCUGAAGGAGCAGGGUCUGUUCAGCCUGGAGAAGAGAUGACAAAGGGAACCUCACAAAGUGUGUCAUUGUCUGCCAGGAGGGUGUCAAGAGGAUGGACCAGGCUCUGCUCCAUAGAGCCAUGCAACAGGACAAGGGGCAGGAACUGAUGAAAGAGAAGUCCCACCUGAACAUGAGCAGGAACUUCUUUACUGUGGGAUUACAAUGCACUGGAAUAGAUUGCCCAGAGGGGCUGUGGAGUUUCCCUCACUGGAGAUAUUCCAGAACUGUCUGGACAUAAUGCUGUGCUAUGUGCUCUGUGAUGACACUGGUUGAGCAGAGGGAGGGUUGAGCAGAGAUGUGGGUCCAGAUGAUGCCUUGUGGUCCCUACCAAACUUGCCCAUUCUGUGAAACCAAAGCCAGCUUCUGAAAGUCAAAAGUAAAAUUCACAGAUCUCUUGGAAAUUGAGAUGAAUCCAAGGGGCAACCACUUGAAAUUGAUGGACUGGAUCCACAGUGUGGCUUGGAUACUACCAUGUCAACUUAUACCAUGGAAUGGCUGCCACUUUGAGAAUUAACAGAUCACAGCUGUUGUUGGCAGGAGAAUGGAGGUCAAAUGCUUUCCUGGCCCACCCCUAUGGAAGGACUGUGAGGUCAGAAGUGAGAAAGAAGUGUCCUUGCAAGCUCUACCAGGACUUAACAGGUUACAGAGCUACUUUUCCUCUGGAUGGGAUGGCUCCUUCAAAAUUCAUACUCGGUAGAUGGAAUAAAACUUGGAGAGGAAGCAAGAGACAUUUAGAGAAUUGAAAAUCAGACUAGACACUGCCUUUGCACACUCAGCCAGCAAACUGGAACUGACUUAUCUGCUAGGAAAAUUCCAUUGCUGUCAUCAGCAAUCGUUAGAUAUCUCAAUUGCCCCAAACCACCACACAAUUGCACAUUCCUUCCUCCCUUUCACAUCCCAAGUAGCACUAGCAGGUGCAUUCCCACCCUGCUUUCCCCAUGUGAGAUAACAGUGAUUCCCAUAACAGCAAUCCUUCCCUUUCCACCAAAUCUCUCCAGGAUUCUCAGGUGUCCAUAAUAUACACCCUAAAUGGUGAUCUAAGCCUUUUCUACCCUCCUCCAUUAAGAAAUGAGCUGGAUCCAGCCUGUGGUUUGACAGAGACAAGACCAACAUGCGAGACAAACAGACAGAUCUUGCCAACUGCAGAGCAGUCUGCAUUGAGACGUGAGAUUCAUCCAAGGCACAACUUCAUUGCUUUCAUCUGGAUUAUGCAAAGAAUAGUUUUGGCCUGGGGGCCAAAUUGAUCCAUCUGGUUAUAAACUGAUAGCAGUAAUUAAAGCUGGUAAGAACCACUGAAAUUG
Long non-coding RNA from Parus major (Great Tit), 1587 nucleotides. RefSeq lists it as uncharacterized. The transcript is spliced from 2 exons. The record is from RefSeq and is a predicted model, not a curated record. Lineage: Eukaryota; Metazoa; Chordata; Aves; Passeriformes; Paridae.